CCUACGGGAGGCAGCAGUGAGGAAUAUUGGUCAAUGGGCGAGAGCCUGAACCAGCCAAGUCGCGUGAAGGAUGACGGCCCUACGGGUUGUAAACUUCUUUUGUCAGGGAGCAAUUGGGUCCACGCGUGGGCUUAGCGAGAGUACCUGAAGAAAAAGCAUCGGCUAACUCCGUGCCAGCAGCCGCGGUAAUACGGAGGAUGCGAGCGUUAUACGGAUUUAUGGGGUUUAACGGGUGCGUAGGCGGAGUAUCAAGUCAGCGGUAAAAAUUCGGGGCUCAACCCCGUCGUGCCGUUGAAACUGAUGUUCUUGAGUGGGCGAGAAGUAUGCGGAAUGCGUGGUGUAGCGGUGACAUGCAUAGAUAUCACGCAGAACUCCGAUUGCGAAGGCAGCAUACCGGCGCCCAACUGACGCUGAAGCACGAAAGCGUGGGUAUCGAACAGGAUUAGAUACCCCAGUAGUC
RNAcentral lists this ribosomal RNA (460 nucleotides) under uncultured bacterium. RNAcentral's name for it is "partial 16S ribosomal RNA". It matches the Rfam family "Bacterial small subunit ribosomal RNA", at positions 338 to 795 of the family's 1533-position model. The record is from RNAcentral.